CCUUCUCUUCCUUUUUUUUUUUUUUCACGCUGCACUCCUCUUUCUUUCUUCUUCCUUAGUUCGUGAGCUUCAAUGGAGAAAGGGCAAGAGAGAACUUGAUGAUUUGUCACCAUUUCAUCCAGACUCCAACAUAGGAAAGCGCCUGCACAUGAAAGGAAGGAGAAAAUGGAUUGAUUCCAUAGUUCUAAGCUUAGGGAAGUCAUCAAUAGUUAUUGGUUAGGCUAUCUAAGAGUGUAAUCAGAUGAAGUAGGUGGACGAACAACUUGUAGACAACCAAGUGUACGGGUUAUUAAAUAGCAAGUUAGCAGCAGGAAAGAGACGACAGGUAUCGCAGCAGUUGACGAUCGUUCUCGGGGCAAGAGGCCCGUGGUUGAUGAGUAGAUCUGAGCAUAGAUGUUGCCUGCUUAUUUUGGGAGUCUGUUGUAUAUAUUGUGACACUGUGAUGUAUUAUGUUUAUGUAGGUUGAUGUAGGAUGUUGUAGUUAUGGCACAGAGUCACCUUUUUGAUAUGAUAUAUAUAGAGUUAUGGAUCAUGUAUGUAUACUACUGUAUAUGAUAUGGAAUUGUUGUAUAUUGUGGGUUGUAAGAGCCCCAAGGCAUUGCUGGUCCUUGUGUGUGCCACCCAUUGGAUUAUUAGGUAUAUUUGUGGUAUUAGCAAGCUUAUGUAAAUUUGGGGAUUUAAGGAAAAACAAAGGAAACU
Gastrolobium bilobum is the source of this 699-nucleotide long non-coding RNA. RefSeq lists it as uncharacterized. The transcript has 4 exons. The record is from RefSeq and is a predicted model, not a curated record. NCBI's taxonomy places the organism in Eukaryota, Viridiplantae, Streptophyta, Magnoliopsida, Fabales, Fabaceae.